RNAcentral lists this transfer RNA (66 nucleotides) under Catacanthus incarnatus. RNAcentral's name for it is "tRNA-Pro". The record is from RNAcentral. Lineage: Eukaryota; Metazoa; Arthropoda; Insecta; Hemiptera; Pentatomidae.
CAGUGAAUAGUUUAUUAUUUAAAAUGUUAAUUUUGGAGAUUAAAGAAAAGUUUUACUUUUUACUGA